This 146-nucleotide unclassified non-coding RNA is filed under the name soil metagenome. RNAcentral describes it as "partial internal transcribed spacer 1". The record is from RNAcentral.
UAAUAAGUGUUUUAUGGCACUUUUUAAAUCCAUAUCCACCUUGUGUGCAAUGUCAGUCGAUCUUCUUCAUGGAGAUCGACCAAACAUCAACCUUUAUCUUUUAACUCUUUGUCUGAAAAAUAUUAUGAAUAAACAAUUCAAAAUAG